AUUGAACGCUGGCGGCAUGCUUUACACAUGCAAGUCGAACGGCAGCGCGGGCUUCGGCCUGGCGGCGAGUGGCGAACGGGUGGGUAAUGCAUCGGUAACUGCCCAGUAGUGGGGGAUAGACUGGCGUAAGCCGGAUUAAUACCGCAUCCGAUCCUAGGUUGAAAGGCAGGGUCCUAAAGGCCUCGCACUAUUGGAUCGUCCUUUGUGGGGUUAGCUAGGUGGUUUGGCAAAGGGUUACCAAGGCGACGAUCCGUAGCUGGGCUGAGAGGGCGACCAGCCACACUGGGACUGAGACACGGCCCAGACUCCUACGGGAGGCAGCAGUAGGGAAUUUUGGACAAUGGGGGCAAGCCUGAUCCAGCCACGCCGCGUGCGGGAAGAAGGUCUUCGGGUUGUAAACCGCUUUUGUUCGGGAAGAAAACCUCUGGACUAAUAUCCCGGGGGGAUGACGGUACCGGAAGAAUAAGCACCGGCUAACUACGUG
Molecule: ribosomal RNA, 484 nt
Filed under: uncultured bacterium
Lineage: Bacteria
Description: partial 16S ribosomal RNA
Rfam family: Bacterial small subunit ribosomal RNA
Source: RNAcentral